Molecule: ribosomal RNA, 494 nt
Filed under: uncultured bacterium
Lineage: Bacteria
Description: partial 16S ribosomal RNA
Rfam family: Bacterial small subunit ribosomal RNA
Source: RNAcentral
GACGAACGCUGGCGGCGUGCUUAACACAUGCAAGUCGAACGGAAAGGCCUGCUUUCCCUUGUGGAUUGCGGGUACUCGAGUGGCGAACGGGUGAGUAACACGUGAGUGAUCUGCCCCCAACUUGGGUAUAAGCCUGGGAAACUGGGUCUAAUUCCCGAUAGGACUGCAGGGUGGUGCCUGUGGUGGAAAACGAUUUUCUAGUGGUUGGGGAUGAGCUCGCGGCCUAUCAGCUUGUUGGUGGGGUAAUGGCCUACCAAGGCGGCGACGGGUAGCCGGCCUGAGGGGGUGGACGGCCACAUUGGGACUGAGAUACGGCCCAGACUCCUACGGGAGGCAGCAGUGGGGAAUAUUGCACAAUGGGCGGAAGCCUGAUGCAGCGACGCCGCGCGGGGGAUGACGGCCUUCGGGUUGUAAACUCCUUUCGACCGCGAGGAAGCCACCUGGUUGGAAGGGUGGUGACGGUAGUGGUAGAAGAAGCACCGGCUAACUACGUG